This 254-nucleotide ribosomal RNA is filed under the name uncultured bacterium. Its description in RNAcentral is "partial 16S ribosomal RNA". It matches the Rfam family "Bacterial small subunit ribosomal RNA", at positions 524 to 776 of the family's 1533-position model. The record is from RNAcentral.
UACGUAGGGGGCAAGCGUUGUCCGGAUUCAUUGGGCGUAAAGAGCUCGUAGGCGGUUCAGCAAGUCGGGUGUGAAACCUCCAGGCUCAACCUGGAGACGCCACCCGAUACUGCUGUGACUUGAGUCCGGUAGGGGACCACGGAAUACCUGGUGUAGCGGUGAAAUGCGCAGAUAUCAGGAGGAACACCGGUGGCGAAAGCGGCUCUCUGGACCGCAACUGACGCUGAGGCGCGAAAGCUAGGGGAGCAAACAGG